Molecule: small nuclear RNA, 110 nt
Organism: Mastomys coucha (southern multimammate mouse)
Lineage: Eukaryota; Metazoa; Chordata; Mammalia; Rodentia; Muridae
Source: RefSeq, a predicted model, not a curated record
GUGCUACUUGCUUUGGUGGCACAUAUACUAAAAUUGGAAUGACACAGAGAAGAUUAGCAUGGUUCCAGCGCAAAGGUGACAUACAAAUUUGGGAAGCAUUCCAUUUAACU